Rattus norvegicus (Norway rat) is the source of this 7106-nucleotide long non-coding RNA. RefSeq lists it as uncharacterized. Lineage: Eukaryota; Metazoa; Chordata; Mammalia; Rodentia; Muridae. The record is from RefSeq and is a predicted model, not a curated record.
AGUGGCACAGUGUCUGGCUGCAUGCUGACUUUUGAAGAAGGCAGCUGUUUUCUCUGCAGGGCAGGAAGAUGGCAGCAGGGCCUGUGGGUGUGUUGCUAUGACACCCAUGUGCUGCUGCUGUCACCUAACUUCUCUGAAGUCAUAGAUGGCAAGUUUAGAUUCUGUGACACAAAGGGAAGCGUGUCUAAAGGGAAGCGGUGUCUUACUAAUUGUUCCCACGCCACCUUCACUUCUGGGAAAGUUUGCGCAGAGGUGUAAUUUCAGGUCUACAGAGCUCUCAUUCCUUCUAGAUGCUGCCCCUGACCCUUCAUUCCCGUAGGAUUUUGGCUAGCCCCUUCCGAAGGAACAGGAACUCUCACAGGGGACACAGGCUAAGACGCUGUGGAGGGAUGCUGCUCACUGACUCACUCUCGUGACUUGCUCGGCCUGCUUCCUUACAGAACCCAGGACCACCAGCCCAUGGAUCCUGUUUUACAAUGGAUUGUGUCAAGGUGACAUAAAACUAGCCAGCACAAUCACUAAUAGAAAGGAUUCUAUCUUGAAAAUUAUACAUUUUAAAAGCUCAGCCAGGCAAAUCUAUAGCUCUCCAGGUCAAAUCCUUUAUAUAAAGCCUUCGCAGACGCGUUCAUAAACAUACCACUUGUUCCCGCGAAUGAGAGUCGGAGUCUAGCAGGAGUUGUUUCACUUCUGAAGCUCGUUUUAGAGCCUAUGUAAUCUCCCAAGGGGCCCAGGAGGGCUGAAACCUCUGCUUGUGUCUGUGCUGACCCUGAGGAUCACUGUGGGUCAGGGGAGGAGAAACGCUUGCGGGGUGUGAAGUGGAGAAAAUCAAGAACCAGUUGUAACCUGUUCCUCAGCACCUCCAACUCUGAUAAGGCAAGUUGUCUGUGGAGGGCCCAGCCCUCUUUACCGGAGAACUACUCGCACAGUGGCCCAGGAGUUUUUGAGGGAAGGCAAUGUGACUGGGCCUGGGAGAGAUACAGGUCUGGCUUGCGUGUGCUUCAUGCAGCUAUGAUCAGGCAGUGGUCAGUGAGAAGGAACUCAGCAACAUCUGUACCACUGGCCUUCGGAGCACUGGUUCCAUCCUGUUUUCUACCUCCCAAGGCUUCUGCGCGUCUCUUGUGGCCAGCCCUAACCCAGAACCAUAAAAGGAAAUUGGAGAAAAUAUGCUCUUUACUGAGAUGGUACAAAGCUAACAAGAGGGGUGGGUUUUUUUUCCUCCAGUGUUAGAGAAUCUCUGUCCACUAAGAACACAGAGCCUGGGUGCUCUCCUUGUCAGAGGUGUGAGGCCUCAGUCCCAGACUUGGACCCAUGUGUGUCUAUGUGAGUGGCUUAGUGUCUAUUGCUGUGAUAAAACACCACAGCCAAAAUCAACUUGGGGAGGAAAGGGUUCAUUUCAGCUUCCAAUUCUAUAAAUCCAUCACAGAGGGAAGUCCAGGCAGGAACUCAAAGCAGGGACCUGCAGGCGACAACUGAAGCAGAGACCGUGUUUAUUGACCAGCUCCGUAAGGCUCGCUCUUAGUGCUUUCUUAUACAAUUUAGGACCUUAUGCGCUGGGAUGACAGACCCAGGGAGCUGGGUCUGCCCACAUCGCCAUUAAUCAAGAUAAUACUCCACAGAUCUGCCUACAGACCAACCUUAUGGAGGCUUUUUUUCCCAAGUAAGAUUCCCUCUUCCCAUAUAUGCCUGGGCUUGUGUCAGUUUGACAAAACCCAACGGGCACAGUGAGUCUUGAAAAUUUAGCACAUAGACCUCCUUGAGGCUUUAAACUGCACCCAACAGCAUUUACUAGUUCGCACUCACGAUGAUGAGCUUAGAUCUGCUGGUGUCUCCUCUCCUGGGUACCCGCAAACGCUGAAAUUAUGCUAAUGACCCCGAGUCUGGGACAGAACUUGCGGGGAGUUCUAGAACAUCCCUGGGAAUGGAGACUGAGUCUGUUCACCCAGGACCAGGAGCCGACACAUCCGGGGUGGAGAUGCUCCCCAGGAAGGAGGGAAGCCUGUGGCGACAACGUCUGUUUAAGAGGAACAGGGGCCUUGUGGGUCAGUUGCAUAAGCUGGAGCUUCAAGCUCUGCUCCGCUUGGCACGGAGCCUCGCUUUACAGACACUCCUCUUCCACGGGAUUUGAAUGGACGCAGGAGGUAGCACGUCCCUGUUGCCUGGGCUUCGGGUGCCCUCUUGUGGCGGAAUAUUGGUUUUGGGAUUUUUCACAGUUUCUCCUUCCGGGGAUCUCUGGAAUCCUACUGUCUUCACUGUCAUUAGCGGUCUAACUCUACGGAACUCAGUCCUCAGAACCAGGUCUCUCAGGGCUUGGCUUUGUCUGCAGGCUGGUCAAAAUCCGUGGGGUAGAGGGACGUCCCUAACAGCGAGGAAAGGCCACCGAUGGGAGCAGAGCGCUUGGUCUAAAGAUGCUUGUCUGUGCUGUCUGCAAUACACACAAAAGAACUGGCCGGGGCCCUACUUGAUUUCUUCUGGUCUCUUCUAGACUCUAGGCCAAGGGUUCUUAGGUGUGGCACUCCGUCAGACAGUGACAGACCAAAGGGACGCUCCUCCUGCCUCGCUUGGUGGACUGAUGAGUGUUCUGGGGCUACCUGCAGGAGCAUGACCAAGGAGUCACCCAUAGAGUGUGGAUCUCGAGUCCAGGCUGGCCGGAGACUUCCUAUAAAGCUGAGGAUGACUUGAACUGGAUCUUUCUGUCUCUACUUUCCGAGGUCUGGGAGCACAGUUUGUGCUUUUGUUGAUGUCAGAAUAAGUCUCGGGCUGGGAGUGAAUCGCACGGAUUUAAACCUGGCACUGAAGUCCUAGGGACGAUUUUCGGAGGUGCCUCUGGCAAAGGAAAAUGACCCCCCUUCUCCAGCUGAUGCUGACGUUGCGUUGGGUGACAUUGUCAGCUUGAUGGACCCGUGGAAGCAGAUCUCUGGGCACAUCUGUGAGGGAUAUCUAGAUGUGUUUAAAACUGAGAUGGAAAGAAAGACCGAACGACCUUAAAUGUGGACAGUAUCAUUAUAGACUGGGGUCCAUGACUGAAUAAAAAGGAGGAAGAGAGAGAGGCUACAAAGAUGGUUUGGCAGUGAGGUGUGUGACCCUUCAGGAGACCUGGGUUUGAUCCCCACUGCUGGCAUCAAGCAGGUCACAGCCUCCUGUACCUUGAACUCCAGGAGCUCUGAUGCCUCCUGGUCUCCUCGGCACCCGCACAUAUGGGCAUAUACUCCCCAUCCCCCCACAUGCAUAGUACAAUUAAAAAUAAAUCUUUUAAAAAUUUGUGUACUUAUGAGUACUCCACUGCAUAUACAUCUGCAGGACAGAAGAGGGCACCAGACCCCUUAUGACAGUUGUGAGCCGCCAUGUGGUUGCUGGGAACUCAACUCAGGAGCUCUGGAAGAGCAGCCAGUGCUUUUAACCGCUGAGCCAUCUCUCCAACCUCCUAAAAAAAAAAUCUUUAAAAACUAAUUUUUAGAAAAGUAAAUGAGCUGAGCACAGCAUUUGACCUCUCUGCUCAUGGGCUGUGAAUGCAGUGAGGCCAGACACCGGCCGCCCCGCCGUGAUGCCUCCAGCACUGGGGACUGCAGCUGCAACUGUGAGCCAGCUAAACCCUUCCUUCCUAAAAUGGUUUUGCCAAGUGCUCUGCAGCAGCAUCGCAAACUCGGGAGAGCACGGAACAGAAGACUUGGGACACUCUGAGGCAUGUCACAGUUCUGUUAGCUCAAGCCAUGCUCAGAAUUGGGAAACCUCUUCAGCUGUGAGAGCGACGUCUGGCUUUCCUCAAGCUCACUGAAUUACAUGUGUCCUAAGAGUUCCUGGCAUUUUUUGGCAAACAAAACUAUUCAACUGCAAGCAGACAGGCAAAUUAUAUCAUUCCGACAUCCCACAAAGUGGCUCCUGCACACUCUCCCCAUUAACCACUCCCACCAACUACGGUUCUCCGCCAUGGACAUAUCGUUCUUGUCUUAGAGUUCACCCCAUCAGGCUCCAGAAAAAUAUAAUUUCCUAAAUCAUGAAAGUGCUUAUUGUGACUUAUCUCCAUAUGCUUUUUUAAAAAGAUUUAUUUAUUUAUAUAUGUGAAUACACUAUCACUGUUUUCAGACAUACCAGAAGAGGGCAUCGGGUCUCAUUACAGAUGAUUGUGAGCCACCAUGUGCUCGCUGGGAUUUGAACUGAGGACCUCUGGUAGAGCAGUCAGUGCUCUUAACCACUGAGCCAUCUCUCCAGCCCCUCCAUAUGUUUCAUUAAGCUAUGUGGAUCUCAACACCUAGCUGUAAGAAAGACUGCCAUUUUGGAUAUUAAUAGGGAAAGGCAGCUGCUCUAGGGGUCCCAAAAGGAGUCCUCCCUGAGUCUCUGUAGCUAGUUAGGUGCUGCUGGCUCCAGAGGAGCCUGGCGGACUCUCCUCAUCAGGAGGAGUCUGGUUCUGCGAGGGCUGUGUGGUCAAAAGGACUUUGCUCUUUUCCAGCUGGUUCCAUAGGCAUCUCUGUGUUGCUUUUACACUCGAUUUCCUCCCAGAUUGUUUUCACAUUGGUCCUUUGCCAUUUCUGGUCCUCCUAUCCAUCCUCCUCCACCUGAUAUGGGCCUACUCAAUUCACCACAUUCUAGGAACCAGCCAGUCUCCAGCCCACUCUGAGCUCUGCCUCUCCCCAUGAGGGUCUCACUUUUCUAAUUACUUUCAGUCCCUUAUCCUUCCUAGGACAGGGGCUGCCUCUGUUUAUAAAUCAUCAUUUUCAUUUUUGAAUUCCAUCGCCAUAUUUAUGUUCCAUAGCUGACUCUACAUUUUCUCAGUGAUUUUUCUGAUUCGGGAUGUAACAGCUUUCUGUGGAGGAGAAUGGAGGUGAGAGGGUUGGGGAUUUAGCUCAGCGGUAGAGCCCUUGCCUAGGAAGUGCAAGGCCCUGGGUUCGGUCCCCAGCUCCAAAAGGAAAAAAAAAAAAAAAAAAGACGCUCCCACUUUGUGACUUGUUCAGGUAUAGGCUCUACCCAUAACCGAGUCAUACUGCUGAGAGCCAACAAGAAUGGAGGUGAGAGAGCCACCCACGGCAGUCACCAGAAACCCUGCCGUAAGUCACCUCUUCACAUUUAUCUCCAUUAUUUAAACUAAACUCCUAUAAACCUUGUGAUAUUUCUUUAGUCAUCAAAAUUUCUUGUUAUAUAAAACUUUGGAAACAGGUAUCUAAUUCAAGCUGAGUUCUUAAAAAAAAAAAAACUCUUGGUUUUCAUUAAGGUGAAAAAGAGAAAGAUAAGGGAGAGAGAGAAAGGGUGGGAUCAAGCUGCAUGAGGGCAAAUGACGCUGGGUCAUUUUGGAUGAUGUGUGGAUAGGGUAGUCCCAUUGUCUCAGCUCCACAGAUGGCUCCAUGGAGCAAAGUGGUGCUGUGGUUAGGGAGAAGGAAGGAGUGGACACUGACUAGGUAACCACUGAGUACCUGGCCCUUAAAGGGCUCCCCUGCUCAGUGGGGAGAGGACAUGUCCAUUCAUCCUGGGUAAUACUUCUUAGGUAGGGUUCCAUUGCUGUAAAGAGACACUGUGACCAAAGCAAUUUACAAAGGACAUUUAAUUGGAACUGACUUACUGGUUCAGAGGUUCAGUCCAUUAUCAUUGUUGUGGAAUGCAUGGCAGGAAGUGCUGAGUUCUACAUCUUGUUCCGAAGCAAACAGAAGACUGGCUCCCUCAGCCAGCUAGAAGGAAGCUCUCAAAGCCCACCCCCAUAGUGACACACUUCCUCCAACAAGGCCACACCUCCUAAUAGCACCACUCCUGGGUCCAGGUAUAUUCAAACCACCACAACCUUCAAUGAGAAAGCACACCUGUUCACCCGGAAGGGAGAACAUGAGUGGUCUGUAAGCUGAAGGUGGGCAGAGCUGAGCCUUCACUGAGGGCGGCAAAACCAGAAUGGAAACCAGUAUGUGUACAAUACACACACCUACACACGUGCACACACGCACACGCACACACACGCACACUCACACUCAGGCAGCCUGGAGUAGGGAUCGGCUUCUUUCUUGGGAAGUCUGCAGAGGCACAAAUCUGUGCUAUUGAAAGAGGAAGGUGAACCUCCUGCAUUCCUUUCAGAUAAGCACUAUGGGCUCGAGUAGAGUUGAGCCUGGGGAAGGAAAAGCAGUUUGCUUAGCAACAGCAGGAAAAUGUGGAAGAAUGUCUCAAACCCGGAGAUGCUGGGUCUUCGGCUCUACUCAGGACUACCUGGACCCCUCACAGAUGACCUGAAGAAAAGCACCAGUCAUUUGGAAGAUUUGUGCUUUCAUAUGCGUGGCUCAUUUGAGCACCUAAGCAUAGCUACUGGCUGACUAGGAUGAGUGGCUUCAUGUGGGUUUAUACGGUGUGGUACUAGAACCUUCUAGACCGAGAUAUGGUUCUGGGUAGCCCUUGACUGAAAAAGGCCUCACUAAGAACUCUUGGUUCCUGCUGAAAGAACCUAUGAAGACACUCAAUUCUCAACACUUAACCCUGUACCAGGAACCUGGUAGAGGGUGACCAGACUACAGUAAGGGCCCAUGUAAGGGCAGGUGGCUCUGGUUCAGCUCCAGCAGCAACACAACAGCAGGGGGAGAAAGCUAACUAUGCCGGUGGAAACAAAGCUACCACACACGGAGCUUCUGAGGCCAGGGGACCCCUCCCCAGCAGCCCAAUACUGGGUGAAGCCCUUUCUAUGCCAGUCAACCAAUACUUUAUCCUAAGGUCCCUAGACAGAACUUAAAACUGAACACACAGACCUGUUUAUCAUUUCUUAGGGAAAAACGUGUGUGUUUUCUGCAGAGAAAUUACUUGGAAAAAGUAGGUAUCUAGAGAGGAAUUUAGUUAAAAAGUACAGCAUACAAGACAGGCAAUAGCUCAGUACAGAAACUUUAAUAAUAUAUCCUUUAUUUUCAAUGGUGGGGAAGACGUAAAUGGACGGCUGCCAGCCAGACCCAUGCGCUCAGUACUCCUCCCCUUCUUCUGCCUCUGCUUCCACAGAAUCCACGCCCACCUCUUCAUAAUCUUUCUCCAGCGCGGCCAGGUCCUCCCGGGCCUCUGAGAACUCCCCUUCCUCCAUGCCCUCUCCCACGUACCAAUGCACGAAGGCCCGCUUGGCGUACAUGAGGUCAAAUUUGUGGUCCAGGCGGGCCCAGGCC